UACAGAGGUCCCAAGCGUUGUUCGGAUUCACUGGGCGUAAAGGGUGCGUAGGUGGUCGGGUCAGUCUGAGGUGAAAAUCUCCGAGCUUAACUCGGAACUGCCUUGGAUACUAUUCGGCUGGAGGGUUGGAGGGGGGGACUGGAAUUCUCGGUGUAGCAGUGAAAUGCGUAGAUAUCGAGAGGAACACCAGUGGCGAAGGCGAGUCCCUGGACAGGUCCUGACGCUGAGGCACGAAAGCUAGGGGAGCAAACAGG
RNAcentral lists this ribosomal RNA (254 nucleotides) under uncultured bacterium. Its description in RNAcentral is "partial 16S ribosomal RNA". It matches the Rfam family "Bacterial small subunit ribosomal RNA", at positions 524 to 776 of the family's 1533-position model. The record is from RNAcentral.